Long non-coding RNA from Oreochromis aureus, 2498 nucleotides. The record is from Ensembl. NCBI's taxonomy places the organism in Eukaryota, Metazoa, Chordata, Actinopteri, Cichliformes, Cichlidae.
CUUAGAUGCCGGAAACUCCUCUGCUCCUCCACUUGGACCUUUAGGACCUUUAGCGCUGGCCAUAACUAUCACUUGACAGACUGACUACGCGCACCAUAUACAUACUUUUUUUCCUUCUUUUUCGAAUCUUCGGAUCACGUGCGUUCCGAACCGUGGAGUGGGAUCGGUUCGGAUUAUGGAUCAACCGUGAUCCAUUGCACCACUACCAGGCAGUGAUGCAGCUGCUCAGGAUGCUCUCUAUAGUCCCUCUGUAGAAGGUGGUAAGAAUGGACGAUGGCAGAUGGGCUUUCCUCAGCUUCUGCAGGAAGUAGACACGCUGCUGGGCUUUUCUUGUUAUGGAGCUGGUGUUGGGGGAUCAGGGGAGGUUCUCCACCAGGUAGUGACCAAGGAAUUUGGUGCUCUUGACAACCUCCACAGAGGAUCUAUUGAUGUUAAGUGGGCAGUGAUCUCUCCGUGCUCUCCUGAAGUCAACAAUCAUCUCUUUUGUUUUGUCCACAUUCAGAGACAGGUUGUCAGCUCUACAUCAGUCUGGUAGCUGUUGCACCCCCUCUAUGUAUGCUGACUCAGCGUUCUAUAGUAGGAUUUUGAAAUUCAUACCAUAGGUGAGUUAAAUACGUCUCUGAGAUGAGUUUGAAUCCCUGUGAUCUUGACCUCAAGUACAGAGUCAACUUUUCUGAGAUCACCUGGGAUUUUCACAUUUACCAGAAGUGCAGCUGCUGAGAGGCUGAGGGGUAGCCGCCAAAAUGUUUUAGAAGAUGAAAAAGUUCAUGAGAGACAAAAUUCAGCUCUGUUAAUUUUUUUAUACUCUUAUUUAAAACAUAUACAUGUGUGUGAAAAGGUUCUUCCUCAAAUCAAAUUUUAUCGUUACAGGGAGAAAAUGAUCUGCAGGAUCCUGCUGCUCAUCAUCCUCACCUCAUGUGUCUCUGGAUCAUUUGUAGUCAAUGUGACACAGACCUCCUAUCAGGCAGAGGAGAACCACAACAUCACACUGGAGUGGACGUUCACCACCAAACCUGACAGAUCCACAAAAACUCUCAACAUCCUCUGUGAACUGAUAACUGAUAAAGUCUCAGUCCUGUAUCAGGUUCAUGAAGGUGUUGAGGUGUCAGAGUCUCAGGAUGCAAAGUUUUCAGGACGAGUCCAGAGUGACAAAGACGCCCUCAGAGAAGGACGAAUCAGACUUCAACUGUCCAGACUCAGGACUGAUGACUCGGGUCUAUACCAGUGUGAGGUCAACACUGAUUAUGGUUACAGCUCUGACGACUGUCAACUCAAUGUCACUGCAGCUGCAGAUGAACUCAAAUCUAAGAGACCAACUUUAAAAUCACAAAAAAACAAUAUCUUAAUUGGAGUGACAGCAGUUGGAGUGGCAGUAGUUUUAAUCAUUGCGUGUACAUCUCUGUAUGUCAUGUUGAAAAAAAUAAUAAUUCACCGUAACCUCUAUGCUGAUGUAGAGAUGUUGAGUGUCUCAGAAAAACAAACUGGGACUGACAGGAUUCUCUGUGCAGGACCAACUUUGGAUCAGAGCGAAUCAUCAGUCACACAAAGAAAAGACUCUGAGCUGCUUUAGGUACAGGAAGUGAUGUGUGGUGUGUAACAUGACUUAUGUUAAAUCGGGCUCGUAUUAUCCUGGGAUUGAAUUCACAGCUGUAAUGAGUAAAGGGGGGACAGUUUUUGCCACCAAAAUCCACCUGUGCUGCACACUGGUAUUACUGGUGUGUGCCCGUGUCUGCGUGUGUGUCCACAUAUGCCUGUGCAGAUGGAGGCGAUACAGUUAAGCUGAAAAAGUAUUCGAUCAACAAAUGACUUAAACAAUGACGUCUAACCCAAGAGCAAGCAAAAGUCACGACAAGAAAUCACAAGGCCUGGAAGUGCAUCGUUGACCAAGAUGGAAACCCUGUGGUACCCACGGCGACGUCUUGGCCUCGUGGACGACCUCGGUCUGCCAGCUAAGGACAAAAGAAGACGAAAGAAAGAAUCAUUAAUGUGUCUGAAGGGAGAGUUUAUUUCUUACCCUUCUGAUUACUGAUGGAUGUUGUAGUACAGAGCGCUGCCUUUUCUAAUCUUUCUGUUAAAAAAAAUGUACAUAUUGUAAAUACAUAUUCAUUUUUAUGGGUUUGAAUUUUUCUGAAUUUUCUGUUUAUAAGUCUAUUUUUAAACUGUGUAUGUUCCCAGGUUCCAAAUACUGUGUCACAAAUAACUAUAAUGAAGGGAACUGACUGAGAAACCAUCAUAAAGUUUUCUUUGAGACUGUAUGAGUAAAAGACACUAACACUAAAACACAGAUUUCAGAAAGUAUUAAAACAGAGAAAUGUAAUGUGUGGUGUUGAGUGUCAUACUUUUCCAUGUUGGCCAAAUGGAAAAGUUUUAAAAUACAUGGAAAUGUAUUUUAAAACAAGACAACAAAAUAGUUUUUCAUGUUACUAUGAAUAACUUUGCAUGUAUGUAUAUUUAUGUAUGAGAGAAGAAAAAAAUGGGUAAAAACAUAUUUUGGGAUA